AACGGCCGCCAUUCACGGCGAUCGGACAGCGGUUUUACCCUUAUAAAUACAUCAAUCGAGCUGCAGUAAAUCGGCACGACUUUGCGGAUCCGAAAACUGGUGAAACGGCGACACACAAUAUUGUGACAAGGACGAAAACGGACGAGCCGCUCCACGCACGCCUAGAAAGGCAUUCGCGCGCGGGAUAAAUAGUGCCGGCGGUCAUAUCGUCUCCUUUAUGGAAAAAAAAAAAAUAAACAAAUAUUUGACGAAUUCCACGCG
Molecule: non-coding RNA, 261 nt
Organism: Cinara cedri
Lineage: Eukaryota; Metazoa; Arthropoda; Insecta; Hemiptera; Aphididae
Source: the annotation of a GenBank genome assembly